Molecule: ribosomal RNA, 237 nt
Filed under: uncultured bacterium
Lineage: Bacteria
Description: partial 16S ribosomal RNA
Rfam family: Bacterial small subunit ribosomal RNA
Source: RNAcentral
GUUGUCCGGAUUUAUUGGGCGUAAAGCGCGUGCAGGUGGUUGGUUAAGUCCGAUGUGAAAUCUCCCGGCUCACCUGGGAGGGUGCGUUGGCGACUGGCCGACUGGAGGCAGGUAGAGGCCGGUGGAAUUCCCGGUGUAGUGGUGAAAUGCGUAGAUAUCGGGAGGAACACCAGUGGCGAAAGCGGCCGGCUGGGCCUGUCCUGACGCUGAGACGCGAAAGCGUGGGGAGCGAACCGG